UAUGUGAUCGUCUCUCGCAUAUCAAUAAGCGGAGGAAAAGAAACUAACAAGGAUUCCCCUAGUAACGGCGAGUGAAGCGGGAAGAGCUCAAAUUUGAAAUCUUAAAGGGUUUCCCUUUACGAAUUGUAGUUUAAAGAAGUGUUUUCUGUUGAGGUUUUGGUAAAAGUUCUUUGGAAUAGGACAUCAUAGAGGGUGAGAAUCCCGUAUUUGACCUUUACUUUCAACUUUGUGAUACACUUUCAAAGAGUCGGAUUGUUUGGGAAUGCAGUCCAAAAUGGGUGGUAAAUUUCAUCUAAAGCUAAAUAUUGGCGAGAGACCGAUAGCGAACAAGUACCGUGAGGGAAAGAUGAAAAGAACUCUGAAAAAAGAGUUAAACAGUACGUGAAAUUGUCAAAAGGGAAGCGUUUGACACCAGUGUUGUUUUUCUGAAAAUCAAUUAAAGAACUGUUUAUGCUAAGCUGUUUAGACUUUAUCAGCUAUCUGCUUUAGUUUUGAGCUUUUCUUUAAUGCACUUUUCAGUUAACAAGUCAACAUCAAUUUCUUUUGCUGUAAAAAAGCUUGAGGAAGGUGGCUUGAGAUUCGUCUUAAGUGUUUAUAGCCUCUUGCCUAUGCAGUCGGAGAGAUUGAGGUCUGCAGCGUAGAUCCUUCGGGGCUAAAUGCAUUUGUGCUAAGUUAUAGCAUUUUAUAGACAACUUGUUGACUAUGAUUUGUCUUGUAGCUUACUCGCUUAUGUUAUUUUACCUACGCUUAGGAUGUUGACACACGCGCGUGCUCG
This 775-nucleotide ribosomal RNA is filed under the name uncultured Neocallimastigales. RNAcentral's name for it is "partial large subunit ribosomal RNA". It matches the Rfam family "Eukaryotic large subunit ribosomal RNA", at positions 24 to 643 of the family's 3401-position model. Lineage: Eukaryota; Fungi; Neocallimastigomycota; Neocallimastigomycetes; Neocallimastigales. The record is from RNAcentral.